RNAcentral lists this ribosomal RNA (591 nucleotides) under uncultured fungus. RNAcentral describes it as "eukaryotic LSU rRNA". The stretch from base 226 to 379 matches the Rfam family "5.8S ribosomal RNA". Lineage: Eukaryota; Fungi. The record is from RNAcentral.
AGUCGUAACAAGGUUUCCGUAGGUGAACCUGCGGAAGGAUCAUUAAAGAGUAAGGGUGCUCAGCGCCCGACCUCCAACCCUUUGUUGUUAAAACUACCUUGUUGCUUUGGCGGGACCGCUCGGUCUCGAGCCGCUGGGGAUUCGUCCCAGGCGAGCGCCCGCCAGAGUUAAACCAAACUCUUGUUAUUUAACCGGUCGUCUGAGUUAAAAUUUUGAAUAAAUCAAAACUUUCAACAACGGAUCUCUUGGUUCUCGCAUCGAUGAAGAACGCAGCGAAAUGCGAUAAGUAAUGUGAAUUGCAGAAUUCAGUGAAUCAUCGAAUCUUUGAACGCACAUUGCGCCCCUUGGUAUUCCGAGGGGCAUGCCUGUUCGAGCGUCAUUACACCACUCAAGCUAUGCUUGGUAUUGGGUGCCGUCCUUAGUUGGGCGCGCCUUAAAGACCUCGGCGAGGCCUCACCGGCUUUAGGCGUAGUAGAAUUUAUUCGAACGUCUGUCAAAGGAGAGGACUUCUGCCGACUGAAACCUUUAUUUUUCUAGGUUGACCUCGGAUCAGGUAGGGAUACCCGCUGAACUUAAGCAUAUUAAAAGUCG